UGCGCAGGCGGUUUCUUAAGUCCGAUGUGAAAGCCUUCGGCUUAACCGGAGAAGAGCAUCGGAAACUGGGAGACUUGAGUGCAGAAAAGGACAGUGGAACUCCAUGUGUAGCGGUGAAAUGCGUAGAUAUAUGGAAGAACACCAGUGGCGAAGGCGGCUGUCUGGUCUGUAACUGACGCUGAGGCUCGAAAGCAUGGGUAGCAACA
RNAcentral lists this ribosomal RNA (206 nucleotides) under uncultured bacterium. Its description in RNAcentral is "partial 16S ribosomal RNA". It matches the Rfam family "Bacterial small subunit ribosomal RNA", at positions 568 to 773 of the family's 1533-position model. The record is from RNAcentral.